CCCAGAAUACCGAAAACGGAAAACCUUCUUCAAACCCUUGCAGCUACUUCGCUACCGAAGCAGCUGUGUUUUGCUGAAAGUGGAAUGCUUGUCCUCUUCUGAUAAGUUUCUAGGGUUUCACUAGCUAGCUAGCUGCAUAGGAUCUUCUCAGUAGCUAUGGGAGGAUCCCGAGUUCAAGUUAACAAACCUCACAAGUCCCGUUUCUCCUCCAAAUCAUCUCGUCACCUUC
This 229-nucleotide unclassified non-coding RNA is filed under the name Hevea brasiliensis (rubber tree). Lineage: Eukaryota; Viridiplantae; Streptophyta; Magnoliopsida; Malpighiales; Euphorbiaceae. The record is from RNAcentral.